This 16-nucleotide ribosomal RNA is filed under the name Morchella odonnellii. RNAcentral describes it as "partial 28S ribosomal RNA". The record is from RNAcentral. Lineage: Eukaryota; Fungi; Ascomycota; Pezizomycetes; Pezizales; Morchellaceae.
UGACUCGAUCGGAGUC